UCGAACGAAGGCUUCGGCCUUAGUGGCGCACGGGUGCGUAACGCGUGGGAACCUGCCCCUCGGUUCGGAAUAACUCAGGGAAACUUGAGCUAAUACCGGAUGAUGACUUCGGUCCAAAGAUUUAUCGCCGAGGGAUGGGCCCGCGUAGGAUUAGCUAGUUGGUGGGGUAAUGGCCUACCAAGGCGACGAUCCUUAGCUGGUUUGAGAGGAUGAUCAGCCACACUGGGACUGAGACACGGCCCAGACUCCUACGGGAGGCAGCAGUGGGGAAUAUUGGACAAUGGGCGAAAGCCUGAUCCAGCAAUGCCGCGUGAGAGAUGAAGGCCUUAGGGUUGUAAAGCUCUUUUACCCGGGAUGAUAAUGACAGUACCGGGAGAAUAAGCUCCGGCUAACUCCGUGCCAGCAGCCGCGGUAAUACGGAGGGAGCUAGCGUUG
This 435-nucleotide ribosomal RNA is filed under the name uncultured bacterium. Its description in RNAcentral is "bacterial SSU rRNA". It matches the Rfam family "Bacterial small subunit ribosomal RNA", at positions 62 to 543 of the family's 1533-position model. The record is from RNAcentral.